This 225-nucleotide ribosomal RNA is filed under the name uncultured Lactobacillus sp. RNAcentral's name for it is "partial 16S ribosomal RNA". It matches the Rfam family "Bacterial small subunit ribosomal RNA", at positions 137 to 355 of the family's 1533-position model. Lineage: Bacteria; Bacillati; Bacillota; Bacilli; Lactobacillales; Lactobacillaceae. The record is from RNAcentral.
UCUGGGAUACCAUUUGGAAGCAGAUGCUAAUACCGGAUAACAACAGAUGAUGCCUAUCAACUGUUUAAAAGAUGGUUCUGCUAUCACUCUUGGAUGGACCUGCGGUGCAUUAGCUAGUUGGUAGGGUAACGGCCUACCAAGGCGAUGAUGCAUAGCCGAGUUGAGAGACUGAUCGGCCACAUUGGGACUGAGACACGGCCCAAACUCCUACGGGAGGCAGCAGCA